CCUACGGGUGGCAGCAGUCGAGAAUCAUUCACAAUGGGGGAAACCCUGAUGGUGCGACGCCGCGUGGGGGAAUGAAGGUCUUCGGAUUGUAAACCCCUGUCAUGUGGGAGCAAAUUAAAAAGAUAGUACCCCAAGAGGCAGAGACGGCUAACUCUGUGCCAGCAGCCGCGGUAAUACAGAGGUCUCAAGCGUUGUUCGGAAUCACUGGGCGUAAAGCGUGCGUAGGCUGUUUCGUAAGUCGUGUGUGAAAGGCGCGGGCUCAACCCGCGGACGGCACAUGAUACUGCGAGACUAGAGUAAUGGAGGGGGAACCGGAAUUCCUGGUGUAGCAGUGAAAUGCGUAGAUAUCGAGAGGAACACUCGUGGCGAAGGCGGGUUCCUGGACAGUAACUGACGCUGAGGCACGAAGGCCAGGGGAGCGAAAGGGAUUAGAUACCCCGGUAGUC
RNAcentral lists this ribosomal RNA (446 nucleotides) under uncultured bacterium. RNAcentral describes it as "partial 16S ribosomal RNA". It matches the Rfam family "Bacterial small subunit ribosomal RNA", at positions 338 to 795 of the family's 1533-position model. The record is from RNAcentral.